This 336-nucleotide unclassified non-coding RNA is filed under the name soil metagenome. Its description in RNAcentral is "partial contains 5.8S ribosomal RNA, internal transcribed spacer 2, and large subunit ribosomal RNA". The stretch from base 1 to 120 matches the Rfam family "5.8S ribosomal RNA", at positions 35 to 154 of the family's 154-position model. The record is from RNAcentral.
GAUGAAGAACGCAGCGAAAUGCGAUAAGUAAUGUGAAUUGCAGAAUUCAGUGAAUCAUCGAAUCUUUGAACGCACAUUGCGCCCGCCAGUAUUCAGGCGGGCAUGCCUGUUCGAGCGUCAUUUCAACCAUCAAGCCCCAGGCUUGUGUUGGGGACCUGCGGCUGCCGCAGGCCCUGAAAACCAGUGGCGGGCUCGCUGUCACACCGGGCGUAGUAGAUUUUAUCUCGCUCUGGGCGUGCUGCGGGUUCCGGCCGUUAAAAAACCCUUUUAACCCAAGGUUGACCUCGGAUCAGGUAGGAAUACCCGCUGAACUUAAGCAUAUCAAUAAGCGGAGGA